ACUUGAAAACUCUCAUUAAAUCAUAGUAAAUUAUUACAUUAAACAGAGUGACAUUCUUAUGUUAAUCACAUUUGAUACAUCUAUUUCUGAGCAUAGCUUUUGCUAUGUGAUUCAAUGCUCACGUUUGCUAUGUGAAUCAAUUGUGAUUCAAUGUUCUCUAUGAAGGAGUUUGUGAUCAUAAGCUAAGGUGAGAGUUGCUGAACUGUGUAUCUCAUAUACUAUUUCCGCCUUCAUGGUACUGCUGAAUGUUCUAUCUAAGGUAAUUAAAAAGAGGUGAAAAAGACAAAAUGCACUACGUAUAAUAAACCACUAGACUUGAAUUCAGAGAAACUUUUAUUCAAUGUAGGAUGUUUUAACUUGUUCACUGAACAACUAAUUUACUAUCUAUAUAGUUGAACUUUCUGAUGUAUGAGCCAAGGAUAUUUGGUGAAGCAGUCUUUAUUCUGCUCUAAAAUUCUUAUAUUUUCUAUGUGUAAUAAAUAAAAAUACCAUGUCAUGAUAUUUCAAUAUUUUAAUUAUUAUUAUCCUCCAAAUGUAAUUUAUUCUGCAAUAAAUUUAUACCACUCUGGCCAUAGUUAUAUUUAUUCAGGACUGUACAAAAGCAAAUAGGUGAAUGAUUUCUAAGCCAAAUUUUGCAUAACUUAAUUAAGGGUAACUUAGUCUGUUGGAUUAAAAUUAUUACAUUAUGCCCUGUUGCUAUGUGCAUUUUUAAUAAUUGGGAAUUGAGAGAUGAGAAAAGUUAAGAAUAAUCAGAUUUAAUUAAAACAACUCUAUUCAAUAUGUAGUCUCAUAAUUCACAUUUUAUAGUAAAGUAAAUUUUACCUGUUUUAACAUUUAUUCAAAAGAGCAUUACGUGACACAUAAUAAUUUCCUCUGCCCUACCUCUGUCAUUACUAGAGAAUUACAUAGAAAGAAAGUAUUAUUUUCUUCUGUCUGAUUAACUGCAAUAUUCUAUUCUGUUGUUGCUAGGCUACAACAGAUUUCAAUCUUUUUUAAUGUUGUUCUAUAGAAAAUAACUAAAAUGUAUUAGUCUCAGUAGGAGUAUAUUGGUGGCAAUCUCUCAAAUCAGUUGCCAUACUCGCUACAUAAAAGUAGUUAUUUUUUACCUUAAUAUGCAUAGUGAUUAAUAUAGUUCUAUUUCUAGAAGAGAGGGAGUUUAAAAUUUUUGACUAUAAAUGUCCUCUUAAAAACUUUAUGAAUUUUAAUUUUAUCUUAAAAUGACAAAGGCCC
Molecule: long non-coding RNA, 1230 nt
Filed under: Homo sapiens (human)
Lineage: Eukaryota; Metazoa; Chordata; Mammalia; Primates; Hominidae
Description: long non-coding RNA NONHSAT255885
Source: RNAcentral